UUCGGUCAAUUAGAGUUUAUGCAUUUGCUACUGAAACUCUAAAUAUCAUAGUGCUGCACUUAUGGCAGGACAUUACAUACAUGAAUUUUCAAGUGGAAAGCAACUAUAAUCUCAUGCUUAGCAGAAUUCUCCCCGUGUCAGUAUCUGAGUAAGCAUCUUUGCUUAAUGUCUAUUUUCUAACAUGGUAGCCAUCGCCAUUACCUCCCCUCUCUCGUCGCCGCCCCAAGAAUUGAUAAAAGCAUCAGUCCUAAGAUAACAGAUAUAACCAUGUGCGCUCACAAUCAUUCCAGUAAGCGGUCGCUAUUCAACUACAUUGGAGUCUUCACAGCAACGCAAUCAUUAUAAACAUUACCUAGUCUCAAGAACCAUGAAAAUACUGCCAGCCCAGCACAAAAGUUUCAACUAUCCACUUAGCAGUAUUCUCAGUUCUUUACUUUCAUUAGGAUUGAAUAUCUAAUUUUCAUUUCACCUUCAAAUCACCAUGGGAAAAAUCUUUCCAUAGUCCUCAAAG
RNAcentral lists this unclassified non-coding RNA (511 nucleotides) under Hevea brasiliensis (rubber tree). Lineage: Eukaryota; Viridiplantae; Streptophyta; Magnoliopsida; Malpighiales; Euphorbiaceae. The record is from RNAcentral.